GGCCGGUUAGCUCAGUUGGUUAAGCGUAGCGCUAACAAUGCUAAGGUCGCGGGUUCAAUUCCCGUUCGGUCC
RNAcentral lists this transfer RNA (72 nucleotides) under Apaloderma vittatum (bar-tailed trogon). It matches the Rfam family "tRNA". From Rfam's summary of the family: Transfer RNA (tRNA) molecules are approximately 80 nucleotides in length. Their secondary structure includes four short double-helical elements and three loops (D, anti-codon, and T loops). The record is from Rfam by way of RNAcentral. Lineage: Eukaryota; Metazoa; Chordata; Aves; Trogoniformes; Trogonidae.